GCUCUCUCUUCCUCCCUCUCCUCACCAGCCAGGUUUACGUUUCCUGUCAUUUUGGACCCCUGGUUCUGACUGUGGCUUUGGGCCUCUGGCUUUAUCCUCCCUUGUCCUAUGCCUUCCCAGUGGUGGUCAACAUGUCCCCCCAUCUUUUGGUCCCUCAGGACAACAAGUUAACAGUCCCGAGAGCAACACAGAGAACAACUUCACCUUCUCGCGAGUCCUCCUUGCUCCUCGUUUCUCUCCCUCAGCGGGCUCCCGAGGCCCGGGGCGAUGGGCGCCACCGCUGCAGGGACCCGCGCUGCUGCGCGUCAGGUUCCUGUUAGACUUGUGCCUGCUCUGGCGGGGAGGAAACUGCUCUCUGGAAGUACGCUCGUGACCUGUGCAAAAUGAAUUCACUUUUCCACGGCACCAGAGGACCAUUAGUAAAUUCAUUGCCCAGAAUACCCCGCUGGUGUCCUGGAGGAUGGAUUUGGUGUCACACGGUAACAUAGAUUAAUGACGAGGACAACAACAACAAUGGCAACAACUAUCAAAUCCUGGCACAGAGGAAGAUACUCCACGCACGUUGUGUCACUUAAUUUAGCAAAAACAGUGUGAGAAAUGUGGUUUGACCAAAGCAGUCCUGGACCAGGAGGCGUGGCUUCUUGCCCCAGCUCUGCCGCCGAUCCGCUGUAUGAACUCGGACAAGGAGCAUCUUUGGGCCUCAGUGUUUUCACCUGUAAAAUGAAGAAGGCUUCAUGAAGAGUCCUCGAAGAUCUCUCCAGUGAAGGCAGUCUGUGAUUCCAUGAAUCAUGAUGCAAAAUUUGUCCCCCAAAGGAGGAGCAACGUUACUAUACCUCACUGCACGAUUGUCACAGGCAUUCGCAGAACUGUGAUCAACGUAUCCACCCACCCCUCCUGAGAUGAGGGGCACUAAGAAACAGAAGACCUGUGUGUUCUAUGGAAUUAGUUCGCUUUCUUACAUUUUCUAGCCUUCAGUGCUGUGAUAAAAACAAAUUUAAAAGCACCCUGCAACACCGUCGUUGAGGUUCCAAAGCAAGGGUGAGAUGUGAGCCCUCAGUGGGAGGAGGCGGGUCUCAUGAUGGGGGCAUGGAGCGUGGGCACUGUUACCAUUGCGCAAAGCUCCAGGGAAGCGAAACAAAGGAAAUGGAGGAGCUUUGAAGGUCCCUGCCAAACUCUUCUUAAGAGCAACAGGAUUAGGAGGAAAAUGAGGCUUCUGAGGGCAUGACCAAGCAUUUACUAUCCCCUUGGAAGCUGCAAAACAAAAACACAAUCAUCUUCAUCUCGCCAUUAAAAAGAAAACAUGAAGGACAGUGGAUCUGGUUGAUCUCUGUAAGUGGAUUACAAAGCUUGGAUGGAAAUUCUUUUGCAAUGAAGUGGCCCAAAGCUUCAUGGCCAGGACAGAAUACCUCAGCGCAGAGCUUUAGGUCCACCCUAGACCUUAGAAAAAUGAGGCUUAAUUCUACAUCAUAAAUGGUUUUAAUCUGCACAACUUUUCCUACUACUUUUGAAACAAUUUGGUUUCAGGAACAAUGGAAGCUCGAACUCAGUUUGUUGGCGGCCAUUAACAGCUCUCAUUUGGAUGAAUAUUUUUGAAAGCUCUUUUUUUUUUUUCAUUGUCACAAAAAAUGAACUAGCGAUGCAUAAGCAAACAUAAAAGAAGAGCUUAAUAUAUUGGCAGAUAAAAACACAGCACACAGUGAAGGAAUGUAUUAUGGACAUCAGCUGUAAAAAUGUUUUCAAUUCCUUUUGGUGUUAAGAUACAGCGUAAGAAACUAGUCAGUUUCUGGAGAGUCGCUUGAGGCAAUUUGCAUAGAGAAUGUUUAUUGCAGGAUGGCAGAUGUGACUGAAUAAAUAGAGCUGGUUCUUGUGGAUGUUGCCUCCCGUCUCUGUCCAGGCUCCCAGCAUCUGGGAGCUGAGGCCGUGCGGUGCUAAGAGAAAGAUUCCAGGGAUCGAGACACAGUAACAGGUCUUCCCCACAAGUCUGUAUAAUUUUAACUUAAUUUGCAGCUAAUCGAUGCAGCUCUGUUAGAGGUUUCUGUGAGGUGAGUCCUCUGAAAGAACUCUUUGAACAAGAGAAAUGCAGGUUUACUCUCAGCCCCAGAAACAUUUCCUUUUUUUUUUUAAGAUGGCACAACAUAAAUUCACCCCGUUUGUGCACAUUGUGAUCCUUUCCCGUUCUAUUGUGGAAGAUGGUUUACCACACAGGCUCUUUUAUAACCGGGUUCUGGGGAAGCACUUAAUUACUCACCUAGGGAGGAGGGCUUCACGUGGAGAAAAGAGUGACGAAAAUGUUAUGAAAAGUGACAUGGAUUGAAAGGGAGGAUAAUACGCCAAAUUAUAAAACCAAACAGACAAUUUUCUUUGAUUUCCUUCCAGAUGUAAGAAAGAGGUCGUGUGAACCAACCAUCCUGCGAACAGACGAUUGUUCCCUCUGGGGGUCCUAGGGAAGGGAAGGAGGGGCAGAGGAGCACACGGGUUGUGGCUCAUUUGGGUUUCUCGUUCCAGAUGCAGUGGUGACAGCGGACCUGCUCCACUGUGCCUUCCAGUUGCCUUUGGGGUCAGGUUCCAAUGCUGAGCACGCCCACGAGCGCUGCUGGUCAGCCUCUUUUCCAGCCAUCCUCCACAGGCCCCCAGGGUUCCUCAAGAGCAAACGUCACCAACUCAGGCUGACUCAUAUAAGGUGGUACAGCUUCCUCCCCAUUCACUGGAACACUCACAUUGGGAGCCUGGGGAAGCCACGUAGGAAGUCUGACCAGCACGAGGCCGCCAUGCUGUGUGGAAACCCAAGUCACACUGUGAGGCUCUGCGUAGCUGCCCCGGUUAACCAUCCCAGCUGAGCUCAGCCUGAGUCACUCGCCUCCAGACACCAGACAUGUGAGUGAAGGAGCCUCCAGGUAAUUAUCCUGCCCCAAGCCAUUCUACUUGUCCCAUCUGAAGCCGUGACAUCGUGAAACAGACGCUAGCCAUCCUCUCUGUACCCUUUCCAAAUUAUCUGUAAGAAUAAUUAAAUCAUUGUUGUUUUACACCACUAAGUUUAAGGACAUUUCUUAAGCAACAUUAAUAACCAAAACACUAACUGAACCCCAAUUCACCCUCCACUGCAUGUUUAUGUCCUGGAGGAGAGGAUGUGGCCCUUUCUCGGCUGCUGAGGGUGAGUAUUUGUUUGUUUAAGGCAAUUGUGGUCAUGUCAUUUCUCUCACUAUGUGUUUAGAUUGGGUGUGAUCUGGAGAUGCUAUUCCGGCCAAUACAAUGGGUGGAGAAGUUUGCUGGGCUGCUUUUGGGAAAAUUCCCCUUAUUCUCAAUGGGAUUUGCAGGACAGGGUGGUUCCCACUGCUACCUUUGCAUGUUGUUGUCUGUGCAUGGUGCCUAUGCCUGUGGUACCCAUCCUAGGACUCUCUAUCGGGGGAGACAACAGCCCAAGAGCACAAGCCCCACACUGAAGGUGCUAGGUCAAAGAGGAGCGGGGAGAAGCCAUGCCCUUGAUGAUGCUCAACAUCGACGGUGCUCAGUCCUGGAAGAAGCUCCGCCUUUGCACUUCUUGUUGUGGAGUAUAGUUUCCUCGUUGCUUGAGCCUGCUUGCGUUGGGCCUUCUGAGAGCUUCAGCCAAAGUUGCCUAAGUGGUCUUUGCUAUCUCAGAGCACAGAUUUUGGUCCUAAAGAUCCAGGUUCAAAUCUUGGUUCUGUCACUUACCAGCUGUGAAACUUUGAGUUGUUCUGACUCUAUUCCUUCAACUGUAAAAUUAGGAUAAAAAAGGUUUUCGUUACUGAAUUCUUGUGAAGAUAAAAUCAUUCACUCAAUAAGUCAUUAUUGAGUGCCUGCUGUGUGCCAGGCACCGUUCUCGGCACUGGGGAAGUGGCUUUGAGGGAGACAGAUAAGCUUCCAGCCGUCAUGGUGCCUUGAUUGGUGCGAGGGAGCCGGGUAAUAAAUGAGCAAAGGAACAAGAGAAUCUCAGUGGCAAAUGCUACGAAGAUGGAAUGAGACGAGGCCCACAAAACGCCCAACACUGGGCCUCGCACACUGCCAGCAAACCGUAAUGGUAUCUAUUGUUUUUAUUCUUAAAGUUAAUGGUAUUCAGAUCACCAUUAGGAAAAGCGAGUGAGCAUGAGUGAACUUUGAUUUUGGUCUGAGGAUUGUAGGAAAGCGAAGGGUGUUCGUUCCUCCUGUUUCCAUCCAUUAGGAUUAAGAAGUUGAGGCCUGCUCUGCAGUGCACUGGUCUGAAUUUUAGCCUUUAGCAUCUUGGAAUUGGCUCCUUCCUCGGCCCGGCCCCGCCCCAGGUUAGCUGGGAGAGGUGUGUGGCUGUUGUGCAAGGGGCUCCAUGGGAAGGGCGUCCACUGGCUCUGUUCUGACCCUCGGGCAGCCGGGGUGAUGGGAGAGUGUCAGACUGAGGUGGCCAAGCGCCAGCACGUCCCCAGGUUCUCCUUGCUGCCAUGGCCUCACGCCGCCCAACUGUGCAAAGCGGGUGGACGGACGGAACCACGGCUCCAGCGCCCGCACGCCGAGGUCGUGCACUGAAAGCUGCGAGGGCUUGGCUGGGCGAGGCUCGUUUCGUCUUUGCGGGAGCAGUUCCUGUUCUACGUUUUCCAAAUACCUAGAAAUUGGAGAAUAAUGACAAAAACUACUCAGCGUGGAUUUUUGUAGGGAGGGGUGGGCCAGGCAUUUGUAAAGUAUCUUUAAAUUGCCGUGGCGUCCAAGAAAGAUUAAUGGAUGAAAAGUCUUGACUUCCAGCUCAAAGUGGCAGAGGAAAUUCUGCCAUAACAUGGUCUGCCGCUAAUCCCCAUCAGUGCAGAGCUGGAUGACUUUUUGCACUGUCUUAUCUCUCUAUUAAGGCAUCUAAUCACUCUUUUCCUGUUUACUUUCUCCCUAAUAUGCACAGUCUGUUAAUGAUAAAUAGUGCUGAAUACCCACCCACACCUCCAGCUGAGAGACUGAGCUCAGGGGCUCUCUGCCUGUGUGUUUGGAAGCCGUGCUUAUGCUGGGUGCUGCCUUGACGCCGGUUAUCCCAAAGAACACCCCCUUCUCACAUCUCAGCUCUCCGUGCCAGGCUGGAAUUCAAUCUGCCUGGCUUGCUGGGCAGCCCUUCAGAUCUGAGUAGGACUUCGGGCUGCUGCUGUCAAACCCACGGAGAAGAAAAACAAGCCCUGCCUGCCCGGCCCUGGCUGCUGGGCGGCCGAGACCUGCAGCUGCGUAGCCAUCCUGUCGUGAGUGAUGGGCCGUGACCGCUCAGCUGUGCAGGCUCACCACUGAAGAUGCACAUGCAGCCCUUUCUUUUCUUUGCGUGCUUGCAUCUGUUCACUGAGGCAUUCCCCUGGAGCUCAGGGUGGUGCAUUUUUUUUUUUUAGGGGAUUGUCGGUUCCAAGUGCUUCUUGCCGUCUUACAAAGGAAACCUGCUGAAUCAUCAGUGGUGGACAAAUACCGUGGCUGGAGCUGACGUUUGAUGGUGUUCCUGGUGGAGGAGGCCACUGUCCGUUCAACCUUUAGGCCUUCGUGGAGGGGUGGGUACUAGAAACUUUCAGUUUCCGUAUGCAGCCUGCGUUACACUUCUGGACAGUGCUGUCACCGAAUGAGGAUCUCAGAGAUUGUCUAUUGUGACCACCCUGUAGAAACUGGAUGGACCUCAACCCAAAAUUUGGCUCAGAUGUUGAGACUGAUUAUGUCACAUAUCAAGAGGAGAUGAAAAGUGUCUCAUGGAAAGCCACCUUGGAGGACAAGAAGAUUCUUUCUCCAGGAGAUGGUCUUUGUGUUUUGUGGAUCUGCUGGGAAGGAGGAAAUGCUGAAAGCUGGCGGUCAGGUGCUGCCUGGGCCCCCAGGGACUCUGGCUCCUAGAGCAGCCCCAGGCCGACUUGGCUGAUGUUUGCUGACAAGCUGGCUCAGGAAAGUGACUUGAAAAGUAAAUACUAACUCAACACAAAAUGAAAAGGAAACGAAGAGUCUGAAAAAAAACCAAAAACACAAACAAAUCCGUGAGAAGAGAGUGGGCAUUGUGCGCUCCCUCUUUUUGACAUCAAAGUGUCUUUGAAUGGAGCCAGGAAGCUCUCACAUCUUUAAAUCCACGUUUACUUGAGGUUUGAAAACUUCCAAGAGAGGUUAGCAGUCCGGGGACAGAGGGCUCCCACUGCACCACAGGAGCAGAGCUUAAAUGCUUUACAAAGAAAAGGGAACACACUCGUUGGGGUUUGUUUUAAUCCUUCCAGGAGAGUGGUGUGGAGUGUACAGCAUGCAUUUGGAAGCCCGAGUACUUAAACACACAUCUGGGAAGGUUCAGAAUCUUCGCCUGGUUCUCGGUGUCUCUGAAGUGUUAGUAGUCCAGUGUCUUGUUUAUUGUGCCACACAAAAAUAAAUCUGAAUCUGUUUUGAUUUUUCUGAUUCUCUUCCACUCUGGAAGUAGAGCAGCCUUUUUGGUGGAAGUGACUUGCAUAAAGUCUCAAAUAAUUACCAAUUCCAGCUGACACUCGCUGGGACCCUGGAACUCGCUCCAUCUGCUGCCUUCCAGGAAGAACAAAGGAUGGAAGGAGUUGCUGGAGAACCAGAGAAAGAGCGCCUCCUAUAUUAUGGCCAACACAGAGAAUUCCAUAAAGAUUUGCAUGUGGAGUCAGCCCACAAUUGUCUGGCGAAUGGGAGAAGAUAGAUAUGAAAAGUAAUUUUACCAGACCAACUUAGACGGCAGUUCUGGGAUGCACCGGUGGAUUCUUGGUCCAGACGUGGAACCUGUUUUUUAAGUUCAAGAUGAGUUUAACCACAACCCAGGUGAGAUCGACGGGCAGCCAACAAAGGAUGGCUCAGCCCAUCCAAUCAAAAGACGUCAAAGCUAGACCAUGAGGAGGUCGAGGGAACUACUCCAAUAAAAGUUCAUGAAGGCCCUUGUCCAGUUUCCAGACUUGAGCCAGUUUUUGGACAGAACCUGUUGACUGAAGGAAAGGCAGAUUCUCCAGGACGAAGGAACUUGCAACACCACGCAGUCCCCUCCAGCAUCGACUCUGAGCUUGGGAAAAUGGAUGUGGGCAGGCAUGAUGCAAGCAAAGGCUGAGAAGAGUCUGCACGUGGUGGCUUGUCUUCUUGGAGUGCUUGCUCUGGGGAUCUGUUAGCCAUGGAAAGAAGCUCUAGGUAGCCACAUGAAGAGACGACACGGAAAGAGAGGCCCCAGCCUGCCAGCCCUCCCUGCUAAUGUGCCCACCACAUGAGCGAAGCUGUCUUGGACAUUCCUGCCAUCUGACUGCAUCUGCUUGAGAGACUCCAAGCAAGACCAGCAGAAGAACGAUCCAGUUCAGCCCUGUGAACCCACGCGUUGGUUCUAAGUAAUAAAAUGGUAGCUGUUUUAAUCCCCCACGUUUUGUGGUUAUUUGUUAUUCAGUAACAAGUAG
This 7358-nucleotide long non-coding RNA is filed under the name Equus caballus (horse). RNAcentral describes it as "lncRNA (ENSECAG00000055163.1)". Lineage: Eukaryota; Metazoa; Chordata; Mammalia; Perissodactyla; Equidae. The record is from RNAcentral.